AUGCUAGCCAGAGUUUGGACUGUUGCUGCUGCUCCUGGCACCUGGGUGAGACAUCUUCCCAAGGAAACAUCUGAACUUGCCCUGGGAGCUGAAUUUAAAUUGUUGACAUGUGGAGGGAAAAAAAAAGAAAAGUUGCCAAAGCCUGUACUUGAGAGAGUCUCCAACAAUGGCCCUAUCUCUCAGGUAAGAACCUCCUGGUGGUUUGGAAAACUUUUUUUAUUUUAUAAUUAUGAGUUUAAAAUGUUUGUAGAAGUAGAGUAGAGUAGAGUUUACCUCUACUUCUGAAUGUAAUUUUUGAAAGUUGAACCACUUUGAUAGAGAAUUACUACAAAAACUACCCUAAUGCAAUACUAGGCAUAUUGUGAAUUUUUGAUAAACCCUAAAAAUGAGAGGCAAUCUGGCAAAACAGAUAGAGGACUAGCCUUGGCAUUAGGAAGACCUGGUUAAUAAUGUCUCUGACACCUAUCAGCUGGGAGACCCUAAGUGACCAACUUAACUUCUUAGCGCUGCAGAACAACUUUUAGAUUAUAAUUAGAUAACAAAUACAUCUGGAGGCAGUUUUCAUAGGAUCAUGUAGCUAAAAUUGGAAGGGAUUUUUCAAGCUCUCUAGUCCAACCCCUCAUUUAUCAGAAGAGGAAACUGAGAACUAAGAAGUUCAAGUGAGGUUGGAUCAUAAGUGAAAUAUGAACCCAGGUGCACUGGCAUUGGAAGAAAUACUCUUUCUGCUAUACCAUGCUGCUUCCCAAUUGUCCCAGUCCUCCCCAUACACUUUUCCUAAACCCAUAAAAUCAAAGAUUAGGAACCUAAGAAAGUUCUAAAAGAUCAGUAAAAGGAAAAAAGAACUCUCUUGUUGUUCAAUCAUGUCCAAAUGUGAUCCCCGUUGGGAUUUUCUUAGCAAAGAUACUGGAAUGCUUUGCCGUCUCCUUCCCUUGCUUAUUUUAUAACUCAAUUACAGUAAAUUAAAGCAAAAAGGAUUUGCCCAGCUAUGUAUCUAUGAAGAUGAACUCAUGAAAAAGAGUUUUCCUGACUUGAAGCCCAGCACUCUAUUCACUUUACUGCUUCUAUCUAAAAGAUACCAUUUCUCCGUCU
This 1089-nucleotide long non-coding RNA is filed under the name Sarcophilus harrisii (Tasmanian devil). RNAcentral describes it as "lncRNA (ENSSHAG00000028783.1)". The record is from RNAcentral. Lineage: Eukaryota; Metazoa; Chordata; Mammalia; Dasyuromorphia; Dasyuridae.